UAGAUCAUGUAAGAUUUUAAUAGUUGCUGCAGAAAUGGCAAGACGAUUAACAUAAAAAUCUACUAUUUUGUAAGCAAUUAUUUAGAUUGUUCAGAUUUCUGCUUAUACAAAUUAAUUCACUUAAUAUACAAAGCCAAAGUGUGGCCCAUAAAAAUUUGCAACAUAAACCAAAAUGGAAACUAAUAUUGACACUGAAAAUAUAAUUCUUUAUGAGAUCUGCUAGAGAGGAGAGAAGCUAGCUUGACACAAAUAUUUUCUUCUCUUAAAAAAGCAUAGAUACUGUGAAAAAAAAGUUAUGAAAUGAGACCAAAGUAAAAAUAUAUAACCACUUGAAUAAAAUUGGAGAAAAGUAGAGUUAACAUAGUAACUCCAUUUUACUAUUAACAUAGUGAAAUAAUCUCCAUUAAAAGCAGUAAGGAAGUAAGGAAUGGAAUUAACAUUACAAAUGUCAGGUCUGUGAUGUGAGAAGGGAAUUUAGAAUAUUUUAAAUGUAAAGAAAAUAGAAAAAAUAAAAGAUGUUAUUAACAAAUAGUCAUGACACUGAACUGACAAGAUAUUGAUAAAUGUGGCUACUAAAUACUAACAAAUAAUAAUCAAAAGUAAAAUAUAAAACCAAUUUCUAACCCAUAUAAACAACUGAUAUUAUCAUUUGGAAUUGUAACAUAAGUAUCCGUGUAUCUGGUUUAACAUCAUGAGCUGAAAUAUUUUUAAAAAUAAAAAUAAUUACGGAACAUGACUUGUUCUUUUUAAAGUUCAAUACCAAAAAGAUCAAGUAGAUCAUUAGCUAUGGAGUUCUGAUGGGAAAAAUAUUAACUAACAAAUUAUGUUGAGCAUAUUGUUUUAAUUUUGUGGGAAAAAAGAAAAAUUAGUAUCGCUUCGGGUAGUUGAAAGUAAUAUAUUAACAAAUAUCAAAUUUUUAAAAUUAUGCAUUUUGUAAGUAAGAUGAUAUACCAUGUCUAAUAACACAUAAACGGUCACUAAGAUGACAAAUUUUAGCGUGUGGUUGUAUACAUAUUUAAUUUUGCCUACCUGUAAAAUGAAUGACAUUUGGGAAAAUAUGCUAAAUUACAAGAAAGUUUUUGAGAAAUGCAACAAUUUAAGAAACUCUGCAGACUGAGCUAUUUAAUUGUACAAAUAAGACCAAUAAUCAACCUUAUACAAAUGCUACUAUAUUUAUUAAUAAAAAAUAU
RNAcentral lists this long non-coding RNA (1190 nucleotides) under Homo sapiens (human). RNAcentral describes it as "non-protein coding lnc-LPA-2:1". The record is from RNAcentral. Lineage: Eukaryota; Metazoa; Chordata; Mammalia; Primates; Hominidae.